GCGGGCAUCGUAUAAUGGCUAUUACCUCAGCCUUCCGAGCUGAUGAUGCGGGUUCGAUUCCCGCUGCCCGCUCCA
This 75-nucleotide transfer RNA is filed under the name Pasteurella multocida subsp. multocida str. PMTB. RNAcentral's name for it is "tRNA-Gly". It matches the Rfam family "tRNA". Rfam says of the family: Transfer RNA (tRNA) molecules are approximately 80 nucleotides in length. Their secondary structure includes four short double-helical elements and three loops (D, anti-codon, and T loops). Lineage: Bacteria; Pseudomonadati; Pseudomonadota; Gammaproteobacteria; Pasteurellales; Pasteurellaceae. The record is from RNAcentral.